Molecule: ribosomal RNA, 497 nt
Filed under: uncultured bacterium
Lineage: Bacteria
Description: partial 16S ribosomal RNA
Rfam family: Bacterial small subunit ribosomal RNA
Source: RNAcentral
GAUGAACGCUGGCGGCGUGCCUAAUACAUGCGAGUCGAGCGAACGGACGAGAAGCUUGCUUCUCUGAUGUUAGCGGCGGACGGGUGAGUAACACGUGGAUAACCUACCUAUAAGACUGGGAUAACUUCGGGAAACCGGAGCUAAUACCGGAUGAUAUUUUGAACCGCAUGGUUCACAAGUGAAAGACGGUCUUGCUGUCACUUAUAGAUGGAUCCGCGCUGCAUUAGCUAGUUGGUAAGGUAACGGCUUACCAAGGCAACGAUGCAUAGCCGACCUGAGAGGGUGAUCGGCCACACUGGAACUGAGACACGGUCCAGACUCCUGCGGGAGGCAGCAGUAGGGAAUCUUCCGCAAGGGGCGAAAGCCUGACGGAGCAACGCCGCGUGAGUGAUGAAGGUCUUCGGAUCGUAAAACUCUGUUAUUAGGGAAGAACAUAUGUGUAAGUAACUGUGCACAUCUUGACGGUACCUAAUCAGAAAGCCACGGCUAACUACGUG